CUGGGGUACGGGGACAUGUACCCCAAGACAUGGUCGGGCAUGCUAGUGGGGGCGCUGUGUGCGCUGGCCGGGGUGCUCACCAUCGCCAUGCCUGUGCCAGUCAUUGUCAACAAC
Molecule: non-coding RNA, 114 nt
Organism: Heterocephalus glaber (naked mole-rat)
Lineage: Eukaryota; Metazoa; Chordata; Mammalia; Rodentia; Bathyergidae
Source: Rfam